UACAGAGGGGGCAAGCGUUAUUCGGAAUUAUUGGGCGUAAAGGGCGCGUAGGCGGCCUGGCAAGUGGAAGGUGAAAUCCCUCGGCUUAACCGAGGAACUGCCCUCCAAACUGCUUGGCUUGAGUCCGGGAGAGGUGAGUGGAAUUCCCAGUGUAGCGGUGAAAUGCGCAGAUAUCAGGAGGAACACCAAUGGCGAAGGCAGCUCGCUGGAACGGUACUGACGCUGAGGCGCGAAAGCGUGGGGAGCGAACAGG
Molecule: ribosomal RNA, 253 nt
Filed under: uncultured bacterium
Lineage: Bacteria
Description: partial 16S ribosomal RNA
Rfam family: Bacterial small subunit ribosomal RNA
Source: RNAcentral